Molecule: ribosomal RNA, 279 nt
Filed under: uncultured bacterium
Lineage: Bacteria
Description: partial 16S ribosomal RNA
Rfam family: Bacterial small subunit ribosomal RNA
Source: RNAcentral
UGCCAGCCGCCGCGGUAAUACGAAGGGCCCGAGCGUUAUUCGGAAUCACUGGGCUUAAAGCGUACGUAGGCGGAUGCGCAGGCAUCAUGUGAAAUCCCUCGGCUCAACCGAGGAACUGCAUGGUGAACCUCGCAUCUUGAGGCAAGCAGGGGCUGUCGGAACGAUAGGUGGAGUGGUGAAAUGCGUUGAUAUCUAUCGGAACACCAAAGGUGAAGACAGGCAGCUGGGCUUGUCCUGACGCUGAUGUACGAAAACGUGGGGAGCAAACAGGAUUAGAUA